AUGGCCGCCGGCGUCUGGAACGUCCUGGACUGGUUCCCCGGAGGCGAGGCCAUCCUCAGGGCCGAGAGCGCCUUCCUCUCCGCCAGCACCGCCGCGGGCGGCGAGGACCGCAUCAGCGCCCUCCACGACCACCUCCUCAGGGACAUCGUGUCCCGCCUCCCCGCCAGGGACGCCGCCCGCACCGCCGCGCUCGCCUACCGCUGGCGCCACCUCCGGGAGCUCACCCUGCUCGGCGUCCACAUGCCCGACUGCGACAACCUCGACCACCUGCUCCCCCGCAGCCCCGUUCUGGACACCCUCGUCGUCGUCCUCAGCCGUAUAUUCCACCACAUUCACCUCUGCAGCCAGAGCCUCAAAUCAGCGCUCCUCUGGAGUUACUACGCGCAGGAGAUCGCCGUCAUGGACUGCCCGCUCCUGGAAAGCCUCAUUCUGUGCGAUGUCUCAUUCGGUGAAGGUGAUUCGGUGGCUGUAAAGAUUGCUGCUGCGCCCAAGCUGCGCGUGUUGGGCUACCUGGAGCCAAGAGUCCACCAGCUCAAGAUUGGCAACAAUCUCAUCAAGCCUGACACGAAGCCGAGCCCGAGCACCGUGGUUCCGAGCGUCAAGAUACUGGCCUUGAAGGUGAACUUUGGUGUCCUCAAGGAGGUCAAGAUGCUGGCCAGCUUCCUCAGAUGCUUCCCCGACAUUGAAAUGCUGCACAUCGAGUCUCUCCCAGCCGAUGAACGCACUCGAAAGCACAAUGCCAAAUUCUGGCGAGAGCUCUGUCCUAUCGAAUGUCUCAAGUCACACGUCACCGAGAUGAUCGUCCAUGAAUUCCGGGGGGAUCGAAGCGAGAUGGAGUUCCUCAAGUUUGUCGACAGGAGCGCGGACGAGAUGUUGUAUUUGCUCGUCAGGACCACUGCAGAAAUAUUCGCUUCGGCGGAUGAGAUGGAUGAGCUGAUGACUAAAAUGGAAGAUUUUACGCACCGAGGGUGGGUCUGCGAUCACUCCAUAGUGGUGCACUGGUGGUGGGGGAGCCUUUGGAGGAGAACCUCUGGAGUUUCAGCAAAGCGUCGGAUCUCUCUGCUGACAACCCUUUCCAGUGUUGGUCCUAGUGUUCUGAGGGGGAUUCAAUUCAGCACUAGACAGCCAAAAGGAAGACACAAUAAGCUGGCCAAGCUCAUAUGCAUGCACCUCUGCCAACUGAACCAUCUAAUACCUCACCGGAGAGAAACGCCAAAAGCAAUUUUCAGACCCCAGAGCCAAAGAAAGCCAUACAUCACAAUUUAG
RNAcentral lists this ribosomal RNA (1266 nucleotides) under Triticum aestivum (bread wheat). RNAcentral's name for it is "partial small subunit ribosomal RNA". The record is from RNAcentral. Lineage: Eukaryota; Viridiplantae; Streptophyta; Magnoliopsida; Poales; Poaceae.